RNAcentral lists this ribosomal RNA (253 nucleotides) under uncultured bacterium. RNAcentral's name for it is "partial 16S ribosomal RNA". It matches the Rfam family "Bacterial small subunit ribosomal RNA", at positions 524 to 776 of the family's 1533-position model. The record is from RNAcentral.
UACGGAGGGGGCUAGCGUUGUUCGGAAUUACUGGGCGUAAAGCGCACGUAGGCGGCUUUGUAAGUUAGAGGUGAAAGCCCGGGGCUCAACUCCGGAAUUGCCUUUAAGACUGCAUCGCUAGAAUUGUGGAGAGGUGAGUGGAAUUCCGAGUGUAGAGGUGAAAUUCGUAGAUAUUCGGAAGAACACCGGUGGCGAAGGCGGCGACCUGGUCCGAUACUGACGCUGAGACGCGAAAGCGUGGGGAGCGAACCGG